Molecule: ribosomal RNA, 403 nt
Filed under: uncultured bacterium
Lineage: Bacteria
Also listed under: 2 other names
Description: bacterial SSU rRNA
Rfam family: Bacterial small subunit ribosomal RNA
Source: RNAcentral
UGGGGAAUAUUGCACAAUGGGCGAAAGCCUGAUGCAGCAACGCCGCGUGAGCGAUGAAGGCCUUCGGGUCGUAAAGCUCUGUCCUCAAGGAAGAUAAUGACGGUACUUGAGGAGGAAGCCCCGGCUAACUACGUGCCAGCAGCCGCGGUAAUACGUAGGGGGCUAGCGUUAUCCGGAUUUACUGGGCGUAAAGGGUGCGUAGGCGGUCUUUUAAGUCAGGAGUGAAAGGCUACGGCUCAACCGUAGUAAGCUCUUGAAACUGGAGGACUUGAGUGCAGGAGAGGAGAGUGGAAUUCCUAGUGUAGCGGUGAAAUGCGUAGAUAUUAGGAGGAACACCAGUAGCGAAGGCGGCUCUCUGGACUGUAACUGACGCUGAGGCACGAAAGCGUGGGGAGCAAACAGG